UAAGCUAUAUGUAGACAUUACGUUGCCUAUAUAUUGUAUGCAGUGAACUAUGCCCUUUAUUAGUGUAUCAACUAUAAAACAGUCCUCUACUUGUCUGAACCUUUGGGUCACCAGUGUAACGCCAUUCUAGAUUUUGCUUGUUCA
Ipomoea nil (Japanese morning glory) is the source of this 144-nucleotide long non-coding RNA. RefSeq lists it as uncharacterized. The transcript has 2 exons. Lineage: Eukaryota; Viridiplantae; Streptophyta; Magnoliopsida; Solanales; Convolvulaceae. The record is from RefSeq and is a predicted model, not a curated record.